CCUUAACGCGAACAACCUUACCAAAUCUUGACAUCCUUUGAAAACUCUAGAGAUAGAGCCUUCCCCUUCGGGGGACAAAGUGACAGGUGGUGCAUGGUUGUCGUCAGCUCGUGUCGUGAGAUGUUGGGUUAAGUCCCGCAACGAGCGCAACCCUUAAGCUUAGUUGCCAUCAUUAAGUUGGGCACUCUAGGUUGACUGCCGGUGACAAACCGGAGGAAGGUGGGGAUGACGUCAAAUCAUCAUGCCCCUUAUGAUUUGGGCUACACACGUGCUACAAUGGACAAUACAAAGGGCAGCUAAACCGCGAGGUCAUGCAAAUCCCAUAAAGUUGUUCUCAGUUCGGAUUGUAGUCUGCAACUCGACUACAUGAAGCUGGAAUCGCUAGUAAUCGUCCUCGGCCCCGGAACGGAUUU
This 413-nucleotide ribosomal RNA is filed under the name uncultured bacterium. Its description in RNAcentral is "bacterial SSU rRNA". It matches the Rfam family "Bacterial small subunit ribosomal RNA", at positions 954 to 1363 of the family's 1533-position model. The record is from RNAcentral.